This 122-nucleotide small nucleolar RNA is filed under the name Myotis davidii. Its description in RNAcentral is "Small nucleolar RNA SNORA26". It matches the Rfam family "Small nucleolar RNA SNORA26". From Rfam's summary of the family: The snoRNA HBI-6 belong to the H/ACA family of snoRNAs, guiding the pseudouridylation of position U4522 if the 28S rRNA. HBI-6 is the human orthologue of mouse MBI-6 snoRNA. The record is from Rfam by way of RNAcentral. Lineage: Eukaryota; Metazoa; Chordata; Mammalia; Chiroptera; Vespertilionidae.
AUUUCUUUAAUAAACUGUCAGCUGGCCUUAAGAGGCUAACACAGAAGGGUAAAGCAAGUCUCCAUAAAACCCAGAGAAGAGAUGGUAAAACUCCUCUUUGGAUCCUGUCUGGAGUCACAGCU